ACAUGCCUAUAGCAUAGUGUUUAUACACCAGAUCCCAUUAGAACUCUACAACUAAGCGCACUCAGGCUAGAGUAGUACUAGGAUGGGUGACCUCCCGGGAAUUCCUAGUGUUUUACAUGAC
Molecule: non-coding RNA, 121 nt
Organism: Picea glauca (white spruce)
Lineage: Eukaryota; Viridiplantae; Streptophyta; Pinopsida; Pinales; Pinaceae
Source: Rfam